This 214-nucleotide unclassified non-coding RNA is filed under the name soil metagenome. Its description in RNAcentral is "partial contains small subunit ribosomal RNA, internal transcribed spacer 1, and 5.8S ribosomal RNA". The record is from RNAcentral.
UCUCCGUUGGUGAACCAGCGGAGGGAUCAUUACAGAGUUAUCCAACUCCCAAACCCAUGUGAACUUAUCUCUUUGUUGCCUCGGCGCAAGCUACCCGGGACCUCGCGCCCCGGGGGGCCCGCCGGCGGACAAACCAAACUCUGUUAUCUUCGUUGAUUAUCUGAGUGUCUUAUUUAAUAAGUCAAAACUUUCAACAACGGAUCUCUUGGUUCUG